This 482-nucleotide ribosomal RNA is filed under the name uncultured bacterium. RNAcentral's name for it is "partial 16S ribosomal RNA". It matches the Rfam family "Bacterial small subunit ribosomal RNA", at positions 30 to 507 of the family's 1533-position model. The record is from RNAcentral.
AUUGAACGCUGGCGGCAUGCCUUACACAUGCAAGUCGAACGGUAACAGGUCUUCGGAUGCUGACGAGUGGCGAACGGGUGAGUAAUACAUCGGAACGUGCCCGAUCGUGGGGGAUAACGAGGCGAAAGCUUUGCUAAUACCGCAUACGAUCUACGGAUGAAAGCGGGGGAUCUUCGGACCUCGCGCGGACGGAGCGGCCGAUGGCAGAUUAGGUAGUUGGUGGGAUAAAAGCUUACCAAGCCGACGAUCUGUAGCUGGUCUGAGAGGAUGAUCAGCCACACUGGGACUGAGACACGGCCCAGACUCCUACGGGAGGCAGCAGUGGGGAAUUUUGGACAAUGGGCGAAAGCCUGAUCCAGCCAUGCCGCGUGCAGGAUGAAGGCCUUCGGGUUGUAAACUGCUUUUGUACGGAACGAAAAGCCUCUUUCUGAUAAAGAGGGGUCAUGACGGUACCGUAAGAAUAAGCACCGGCUAACUACGUG